Molecule: ribosomal RNA, 537 nt
Filed under: uncultured bacterium
Lineage: Bacteria
Description: bacterial SSU rRNA
Rfam family: Bacterial small subunit ribosomal RNA
Source: RNAcentral
AAUAGAUACCCGGGUAGUCCACGCCGUAAACGAUGAGUGCUAAGUGUUAGGGGGUUUCCGCCCCUUAGUGCUGCAGCUAACGCAUUAAGCACUCCGCCUGGGGAGUACGGCCGCAAGGCUGAAACUCAAAGGAAUUGACGGGGGCCCGCACAAGCGGUGGAGCAUGUGGUUUAAUUCGAAGCAACGCGAAGAACCUUACCAGGUCUUGACAUCUCCUGACCGCCCUGGAGACAGGGACUUCCCUUCGGGGACAGGAUGACAGGUGGUGCAUGGUUGUCGUCAGCUCGUGUCGUGAGAUGUUGGGUUAAGUCCCGCAACGAGCGCAACCCUUGUCCUUAGUUGCCAGCAUUCAGUUGGGCACUCUAAGGAGACUGCCGGCUAAAAGUCGGAGGAAGGUGGGGAUGACGUCAAAUCAUCAUGCCCCUUAUGACCUGGGCUACACACGUGCUACAAUGGGCGGUACAGAGGGUCGCGAACCCGCAAGGGGGAGCCAAUCCCAAAAAACUGCUCUCAGUUCGGAUUGCAGGCUGCAACUCG